Molecule: ribosomal RNA, 534 nt
Filed under: Bifidobacterium pseudocatenulatum
Lineage: Bacteria; Bacillati; Actinomycetota; Actinomycetes; Bifidobacteriales; Bifidobacteriaceae
Description: bacterial SSU rRNA
Rfam family: Bacterial small subunit ribosomal RNA
Source: RNAcentral
GUGGUAAUGCCGGAUGCUCCGACUCCUCGCAUGGGGUGUCGGGAAAGAUUUCAUCGGUAUGGGAUGGGGUCGCGUCCUAUCAGGUAGUCGGCGGGGUAACGGCCCACCGAGCCUACGACGGGUAGCCGGCCUGAGAGGGCGACCGGCCACAUUGGGACUGAGAUACGGCCCAGACUCCUACGGGAGGCAGCAGUGGGGAAUAUUGCACAAUGGGCGCAAGCCUGAUGCAGCGACGCCGCGUGCGGGAUGACGGCCUUCGGGUUGUAAACCGCUUUUGAUCGGGAGCAAGCCUUCGGGUGAGUGUACCUUUCGAAUAAGCACCGGCUAACUACGUGCCAGCAGCCGCGGUAAUACGUAGGGUGCAAGCGUUAUCCGGAAUUAUUGGGCGUAAAGGGCUCGUAGGCGGUUCGUCGCGUCCGGUGUGAAAGUCCAUCGCUUAACGGUGGAUCUGCGCCGGGUACGGGCGGGCUGGAGUGCGGUAGGGGAGACUGGAAUUCCCGGUGUAACGGUGGAAUGUGUAGAUAUCGGGAAAGA